Molecule: non-coding RNA, 104 nt
Organism: Sporormia fimetaria CBS 119925
Lineage: Eukaryota; Fungi; Ascomycota; Dothideomycetes; Pleosporales; Sporormiaceae
Source: the annotation of a GenBank genome assembly
GGCCUGGUGGUCUAGUGGUAUGAUUGUCGCUUCGGGACUCUGUGCCUGGCUUCGCUUGAAGCCGAGAUUGUGACAGGCCCCGGGUUCAAAUCCCGGCCAGGCCC